This is a long non-coding RNA of Numida meleagris (helmeted guineafowl), 248 nucleotides long. RefSeq lists it as uncharacterized. NCBI's taxonomy places the organism in Eukaryota, Metazoa, Chordata, Aves, Galliformes, Numididae. The record is from RefSeq and is a predicted model, not a curated record. The transcript has 3 exons.
CUGUGAAGAAACGGAGAGGCCAAGAUGGCGGCCGGCAGGUGGGGCCGAAGGCUGCAGGGGCUGUGCUGCCACUGAGACCUAGCAGAAAGCAGGGGCAGAUCCAGUGUGCCGUCCCUCUUUGAGUACUGCUGUGAUGCCAACAUCUAGCACCGACCUGGUGCAGGUAUUCCAAAACUCUGCAGAGGCAAUGGGGGUCUUUCCUCCCAAAUUCAACUCCUAAACUUUAUGCCACAAUAAAGCCUUCCUUC